CCUAAUAAAAGAGGAGAGUGGAACAAAUUUGCAGAGCGUGCGACUAUUGUAAAUGCCUUUUAUAUGAAGACAGAAAACAGCAUAUCAUUCCCUGCAGGAGCUAUACAGCUUCCCAAUUUCAGCAAGGAUCGACCAUACUAUCUUAAUUUUGGAGGCAUUGGAUAUUUCAUUGGCCAUGAAAUUACUCAUGGAUUCGAUAGUAAUGGUCGACAUUUUGAUAAAAAUGGUAAUAGGAACAACUGGUGGAGCACAGACGCAGACAAAUUUUCAGAAAGAAAGCCGAAUGUAUCAUAAACCAAUAUAGUAAUUACACAACAGAUUAUGGAAUUGGAAUGCAGCUAAACGGCGUUUAGACGCAAGCAGAAAAUAUAGCGGACACAGCAGGACUGAAAACAGCUUAUUUGGCCUACCAGUCGUGGGUGAGAGAUAAAGGAAUAGAGCCAAAGUUGCCUGGAUUAAAGUAUACACCGAAUCAGUUAUUUUGGAUAGGUUUAGCAAAU
This is a long non-coding RNA of Stegodyphus dumicola, 500 nucleotides long. The record is from RefSeq and is a predicted model, not a curated record. Lineage: Eukaryota; Metazoa; Arthropoda; Arachnida; Araneae; Eresidae.